This 513-nucleotide ribosomal RNA is filed under the name uncultured bacterium. Its description in RNAcentral is "partial 16S ribosomal RNA". It matches the Rfam family "Bacterial small subunit ribosomal RNA", at positions 28 to 523 of the family's 1533-position model. The record is from RNAcentral.
GACGAACGCUGGCGGCAUGCCUAAUACAUGCAAGUCGAGCGAACAGAUGAAGUGCUUGCACUUCUAACGUUAGCGGCGAACGGGUGAGUAACACGUAAGGAAUCUACCUAUAAGCGGGGGAUAACAUUCGGAAACGGGUGCUAAUACCGCAUAAUAUCUUCUUCCGCAUGGAAGAAGAUUGAAAGACGGCUCUGCUGUCACUUAUAGAUGACCUUGCGGUGCAUUAGUUAGUUGGUGGGGUAACGGCCUACCAAGACGAUGAUGCAUAGCCGACCUGAGAGGGUGAUCGGCCACAUUGGGACUGAGAAACGGCCCAAACUCCUACGGGAGGCAGCAGUAGGGAAUCUUCCGCAAUGGGCGAAAGCCUGACGGAGCAAUGCCGCGUGAGUGAAGAAGGCCUUCGGGUCGUAAAACUCUGUUAUAAGGGAAGAACAAAUUGUAGAGUAACUGCUACAGUCUUGACGGUAUCUUAUCAGAAAGCCACGGCUAACUACGUGCCAGCCGCCGCAGUAA